RNAcentral lists this non-coding RNA (113 nucleotides) under Heyndrickxia shackletonii. RNAcentral's name for it is "Bacillus shackletonii SAM-I sequence". It matches the Rfam family "SAM riboswitch aptamer (S box leader)". From Rfam's summary of the family: The SAM riboswitch is found upstream of a number of genes which code for proteins involved in methionine or cysteine biosynthesis in Gram-positive bacteria. The SAM riboswitch acts at the level of transcription termination control. The predicted structure consists of a complex stem-loop region followed by a single stem loop terminator region. The record is from Rfam by way of RNAcentral. Lineage: Bacteria; Bacillati; Bacillota; Bacilli; Caryophanales; Bacillaceae.
CUCUUAUCGAGAGCGGCGGAGGGACUAGGCCCUGUGAUGCCCGGCAACCAUCAAACACAUAAGUUUGAUAAGGUGCUAAUUCCUACAGAUCCAUGAGAUCUGAAAGAUAAGGG